Molecule: ribosomal RNA, 385 nt
Filed under: uncultured bacterium
Lineage: Bacteria
Description: bacterial SSU rRNA
Rfam family: Bacterial small subunit ribosomal RNA
Source: RNAcentral
GACGAACGCUGGCGGCGUGCUUAACACAUGCAAGUCGAACGGUGAAGCCUUCGGGUGGAUCAGUGGCGAACGGGUGAGUAACACGUGAGUAAUCUGCCCUUGACUCUGGGAUAACUUCGGGAAACCGGAGCUAAUACCGGAUAUGACGCAUGGACGCAUGUUCUGUGUGUGGAAAGAUUUAUUGGUCAGGGAUGAGCUCGCGGCCUAUCAGCUUGUUGGUGGGUAAUGGCCUACCAAGGCGACGACGGGUAGCCGGCCUGAGAGGGCGAUCGGCCACACUGGGACUGAGACACGGCCCAGACUCCUACGGGAGGCAGCAGUGGGGAAUAUUGCGCAAUGGGCGAAAGCCUGACGCAGCGACGCCGCGUGAGGGAUGAAGGCCUUC